CCAGACUCCUACGGGAGGCAGCAGUGAGGAAUAUUGGUCAAUGGGCGGGAGCCUGAACCAGCCAAGUCGCGUGAGGGAAGAAGGUACUGAGUAUUGUAAACCUCUUUUGCCAGGGGACAAAGGCGGCCACGGGUGGCCGUAAGAGGGUACCUGGAGAAAAAGCAUCGGCUAACUCCGUGCCAGCAGCCGCGGUAAUACGUAGGUGACAAGCGUUGUCCGGAUUUACUGGGUGUAAAGGGCGCGUAGGCGGACUGUCAAGUCAGUCGUGAAAUACCGAAGCUUAACUUCGGGGCUGCGAUUGAAACUGACAGCCUUGAGUAUCGGAGAGGAAAGCGGAAUUCCUAGUGUAGCGGUGAAAUGCGUAGAUAUUAGGAGGAACACCAGUGGCGAAGGCGGCUUUCUGGACGACAACUGACGCUGAGGCGCGAAAGUGUGGGGAGCAAACAGGAUUAGAUACCCGUGUAC
Molecule: ribosomal RNA, 465 nt
Filed under: uncultured bacterium
Lineage: Bacteria
Description: bacterial SSU rRNA
Rfam family: Bacterial small subunit ribosomal RNA
Source: RNAcentral